CCUACGGGAGGCAGCAGUAGGGAAUCUUCCACAAUGGGCGAAAGCCUGAUGGAGCAACGCCGCGUGGGUGAAGAAGGUCUUCGGAUCGUAAAACCCUGUUGUUAGAGAAGAAAGGGCGUGAGAGUAACUGUUCACGUUUGGACGGUAUCUAACCAGAAAGCCACGGCUAACUACGUGACAGCAGCCGCGGGAAUAAGUAGGUGGCAAGCGUUGACCGGAUUCAUUGGGCGUAAAGGGAACGCAGGCGGGCGUUUAAGUGUGAGGUGAAAGCCUUCGGCUUAACCGGAGUAGUGCAUUGGAAACUGGGAGACUGGAGUGCAGAAGAGGAGAGUGGAACUCCAUGUGGAGCGGUGAAAUGCUUAGAUAGAGGGAAGAACACCAGUGGCGAAAGCGGCUCUCUGGUCUGUAACUGACGCUGAGGUUCGAAAGCGUGGGUAGCAAACAGGAUUAGAUACCCGGGUAGUC
This 465-nucleotide ribosomal RNA is filed under the name uncultured bacterium. RNAcentral describes it as "partial 16S ribosomal RNA". It matches the Rfam family "Bacterial small subunit ribosomal RNA", at positions 338 to 795 of the family's 1533-position model. The record is from RNAcentral.